UUGAUACGAUGCAGGUAUCAAAUUUAUGCUCAAGCUGGCAUAACUCACCAUAUUUACUGCGUAAUACAGGCAUGCUUAUGUAGUUGAGCACCC
Molecule: long non-coding RNA, 93 nt
Organism: Gavialis gangeticus (Gharial)
Lineage: Eukaryota; Metazoa; Chordata; Crocodylia; Gavialidae
Exons: 3
Source: RefSeq, a predicted model, not a curated record